AGAGUUUGAUCCUGGCUCAGUAAGUCGUAACAAGGUAACCAUAGAGUUUGAUCCUGGCUCAGAUUGAACGCUGGCGGCAGGCUUAACACAUGCAAGUCGAGCGGAGAUGAGGUGCUUGCACCUUAUCUUAGCGGCGGACGGGUGAGUAAUGCUUAGGAAUCUGCCUAUUAGUGGGGGACAACAUUCCGAAAGGAAUGCUAAUACCGCAUACGUCCUACGGGAGAAAGCAGGGGAUCUUCGGACCUUGCGCUAAUAGAUGAGCCUAAGUCGGAUUAGCUAGUUGGUGGGGUAAAGGCCUACCAGGGCGACGAUCUGUAGCGGGUCUGAGAGGAUGAUCCGCCACACUGGGACUGAGACACGGCCCAGACUCCUACGGGAGGCAGCAGUGGGGAAUUUUGGACAAUGGGGGAAACCCUGAUCCAGCCAUCCCGCGUGUGCGAUGAAGGCCUUUGGGUUGUAAAGCACUUUUGGCAGGAAAGAAACGUCGUGGGUUAAUACCCCGCGAAACUGACGGUACCUGCAGAAUAAGCACCGGCUAACUACGUGCCAGCAGCCGCGGUAAUACGUAGGGUG
This 573-nucleotide ribosomal RNA is filed under the name uncultured bacterium. Its description in RNAcentral is "bacterial SSU rRNA". It matches the Rfam family "Bacterial small subunit ribosomal RNA", at positions 1 to 534 of the family's 1533-position model. The record is from RNAcentral.